This is a non-coding RNA of Danionella cerebrum, 79 nucleotides long. The record is from the annotation of a GenBank genome assembly. Lineage: Eukaryota; Metazoa; Chordata; Actinopteri; Cypriniformes; Danionidae.
GCUUUCCUGUGGCUCAGUUGGUAGAGCAUUCAUUGCUCCAACAACGCAAAGGUCGUGGGUUCAAAUCCCAGGGAAAGCA